Molecule: long non-coding RNA, 2184 nt
Organism: Gallus gallus (chicken)
Lineage: Eukaryota; Metazoa; Chordata; Aves; Galliformes; Phasianidae
Exons: 2
Source: RefSeq, a predicted model, not a curated record
CUUCUUCCGCCGCGGCUGCUGCCCGCCGUAACCGUUGUCCGCCCGGCUCCCGCCGCUGCCCGCCGCCGCCAUGUUGCGGCGCUCCCGCGACCUCCGCCCGCUCUCGGCGCACGGCGGGAGCGAGGGGCGGGGCCUCCCCGGCGCCGUGCGCGGAGCCGCCGCCGCCGCCAUCUUGGAGGAGGUCCGAGCGGGGUUCGGCCCUCGGGCUGCGGGAGGGGACUGCUGCCUUUUUCUUUGCGCCUUAAAACAAAGGCUGCAAAUAGGGUUCUGCGGGAUGAAGCAGGGCGGCGAACUCCUCAGAAAGCAGUGGGUUUUGUUUCCACAGUGAUUUAUGAAAAUUUUCGGACGGUAAUUUGUUAGCACGGUGUUCUCAGCCUUCCCAAUCAGCACUCCCAGAAAUGCUCGACAAGCGGCUCACUUCUUAUUCAUUUAUGCAACUGCAAAGAUUCCGUGUUGUCGAAGCCUGGCACUACAGAGGAGAGAGCUGUGACAGCCCGUGCCGGCUGCCCUGCCAGCCAACAGCACUGCAGAAAUCUGCAUACCUGGCAUGUAACUUGCAGAUGCCGCCUCAUCCACCCGCUGGGUGCUCUGGGUGCUCAUCACCGACGGGACUCUAAUGGGGUCAAUGAGGUUUCUGCAAACCCAGUAUCUCAACUAGUGAAAAGCAGCCAGUCCCCAGUCUCCGGUGCCGCUUAAGGAGACUGAAUUUUGUACAAAGGGGAAACAAAAGGAAUGAAGCGGUCCAACCUGUGCAGCUUCUUGCAUAACCUCUGCUUCUGGGGGCUGUUUCAACCCUACCACACCCAAAGCGUGGCUCUCUGCAAACAUCGUACGGGCUGGAUGAGGUUUAUAGGAAGAGGUAACACCUUUCAUUUGACCAGUUAGGAUAGCUGGCAAAAUUAGACAGGGUUGCAAGCACAUAAAGAUUCCUUCUGUGGAGAUGGAAUAGCCUUCCUCCUGUUCUUCAAACUGACAACAACGACAACAACAAAAGAAUUGAAGGUUAAAUACACAUUGGAAUCAACUGCUUAAAGCUGAAUUAGUCUUCCUGCACUACACAUUUCCCCAUCGUAAGGAAUUCUUAGCUGUAAGAGAAGACCAGAGCUGUGGUGGUGUCCCAUCCCAUUCAUGUUUGCAGUCACUGUGAGAUACGCAGUAAGGCUGGAGACACGUAAGUAGUACCAGCGCCGUGCUGCACCUGGGGGCACAUGGGCACAGCAGCCCUCCUGCUGCACUCACAAAACAGGGCGAGUGCAGCAGUACCGCAAAGACUGAGCAAGUUUCAUUGUUGCCACCUCACCCAUUCCUGUGCCAGGCAGGUGUGAGGACAGAAUAGGAAAAGACAGCUGCUGUCGGUUUCCUUAAGCGAUGUGAACGCAGCGACGCCUGCAAUAGAGCAUACAAGUAGCGUGCUUUGUGGUAUUAUUUAUUUAGGAACUGUGAGUAACUACAGCCGUAGCGUUCUCAUCUUUGCAAUUCUGAUGGUUUAACAAACAGGGAAAACAUUAGCAUAUUUUUAUUAAGGUACAAAAUACACCCCAUUGUUGCCUAAAACAUUUAAAAACGUGAGAAAAGCUCUGUAUGUUCUAAAUCAGAUUAAAAACCUUUCUGUAUAAGGAAUCGUGGCAAUACUGUGUUUAGUAUAACAAGAGUUCUUUAUCAAUUGAAAAGGAAAAGACAUGCUGGCAAUCUGAACUUAGCAACAAAGAGUAAAGCAGUUAAAAACCAUUGUGUCAUCCACAUUAGUUGAGCUUUGAAUGCAGAAGAGCAAAUCAUAUGAAACACGUACACAACUCGGUAAUAUCAAACAACCUAAGGCUGAUAUUGUACACACCUGUAAUAAAGUACACUGCCUACUUAACUGUGAGGACUUAAGGUAUUCUUUUAAAGAGGUAACCUUUGAAAUUGUUGCACUUUACACACAAAGUGGAAAAGAAAAAGAAUCACUUUUGGAAUGAUACAUAAAUGUAAGAAAGACAUGCUGCUUUUGGAUUAUGCAUAUCACCUUACAGCCUCUGAUAUUACCUCUGAACAGCAACAACAACAAAAAAUAAAAAGUGCCAAUACUGUGAAAGGAAAGCAAAGUUAUUAAGUCUUGAGUGCCUUAACCAUUUCUGAAAGAAAGCCUGGGCUUUGGGCUUUUUGUUUCUUCUUUUUUUUUUUUUUCCUGCAUUUUUUAAAAAG